Molecule: non-coding RNA, 74 nt
Organism: Podarcis lilfordi (Lilford's wall lizard)
Lineage: Eukaryota; Metazoa; Chordata; Lepidosauria; Squamata; Lacertidae
Source: the annotation of a GenBank genome assembly
GCCUGGGAUAGCUCAGUGGGUAGAGCAUGAGACUCGCAAUCUCAGCGUUGCAGGUUUGAGACCCAUGUUGGGCA